RNAcentral lists this ribosomal RNA (497 nucleotides) under uncultured bacterium. Its description in RNAcentral is "partial 16S ribosomal RNA". It matches the Rfam family "Bacterial small subunit ribosomal RNA", at positions 28 to 507 of the family's 1533-position model. The record is from RNAcentral.
GAUGAACGCUGGCGGCGUGCCUAACACAUGCAAGUCGAGCGGACGGACGAGGCUUUUGCUUGUCUGAUGUUAGGGGCGGGCGGGUGAGUCACAUGAGUAUACCCCACCUAUAUGACUGGGAUCACUUCGGGAAAGCGGAUACAACACCGGAUAAGAUUUUGAACCGCAUGGUUCAUAGGAGAAAUUCGGCCUUGCUGUCACUUAUAGAUGGUUCCGGGCUGGAUUGGCUAGUUGGUAGGGUAACGGCUUUCCAAGGCUAGGAUGCGUAGCCGACCUGAGAGGGUGAUCGGCCACACGGGAGCUGAGACACGGUCCAGACUCCUACGGGAGGCAGCAGUAGGGAAUCUUCGGCAAUGGGCGAAAGCCUGACGGAGCGACGCCGCGUGUGUGAUGAAGGUCUUCGGAUCGUGAAGCUCUGUUAUUGGGGAAGAACAGCUGUGGAAUGAGACGUAGACGUCUUGACGGUACCUAGUCAAGAAGCACCGGCUAACUACGUG